RNAcentral lists this ribosomal RNA (485 nucleotides) under uncultured bacterium. RNAcentral's name for it is "bacterial SSU rRNA". It matches the Rfam family "Bacterial small subunit ribosomal RNA", at positions 35 to 507 of the family's 1533-position model. The record is from RNAcentral.
GACACGGCUGGCGGCGUGGAUUAGGCAUGCAAGUCGAACGGUAUCAUCCUUUCGGGGGUGAGAGAGUGGCGAACUGGUGAGUAACACGUAGGUUAUCUACCUCAAGACGGGGACAACCCAGGGAAACUUGGGCUAAUACCGGAUGUGAGCAACUUUUAGUUGUUUGAAAGGUGGCGUAAGCUGUCGCUUGGGGAUGAGCCUGCGUCCUAUUAGUUAGUUGGUGAGGUAACGGCUCACCUAGGCAAUGAUAGGUAGGCGGCCUUAACGGGUGGUCGCCCACACUGGGAUUGAGAUACGGCCCAGACUCCUACGGGAGGCAGCAGUCGAGAAUAGUCUACAAUGGUCGGAAGACUGAUAGUGCGACGCCGCGUGAACGAUGAAUCCCUUCGGGGUGUAAAGUUCUUUUAUAUGUGAGCAGUGCUUCUUAUAUUAACAGUAUGGGGAGAGAGAUAUUAGCAUAUGAAUAAGCAACGGCUAACUCCGUG